Molecule: ribosomal RNA, 206 nt
Filed under: uncultured bacterium
Lineage: Bacteria
Description: partial 16S ribosomal RNA
Rfam family: Bacterial small subunit ribosomal RNA
Source: RNAcentral
UACGUAGGGGUGACACGUUGUCCGGAAUUAUUGGGCGUAAAGAGCUCGUAGGCGGUUUGUUGCGUCGGCUGUGAAAUCCCGAGGCUCAACCUCGGGUCUGCAGUCGAUACGAGCAAACUAGAGUGUUGCAGGGGAGACUGGAAUUCCUGGUGUAGCGGUGAAAUGCGCAGAUAUCAGGAGGAACACCGGUGGCGGAAGGCGGGUCU